Molecule: ribosomal RNA, 392 nt
Filed under: uncultured bacterium
Lineage: Bacteria
Description: bacterial SSU rRNA
Rfam family: Bacterial small subunit ribosomal RNA
Source: RNAcentral
GACGAACGCUGGCGGCGNGCUUAACACAUGCAAGUCGAGCGGUAAGGCCCUUUCGGGGGUACACGAGCGGCGAACGGGUGAGUAACACGUGGGUGACCUGCCCUCAGCUCUGGGAUAAGCCUGGGAAACCGGGUCUAAUACUGGAUAUGACUCCAUGACGCAUGUUGUGGGGUGGAAAGCCUUGUGCGGCUGAGGAUGGGCCCGCGGCCUAUCAGCUUGUUGGUGGGGUGAUGGCCUACCAAGGCGACGACGGGUAGCCGGCCUGAGAGGGCGACCGGCCACACUGGGACUGAGACACGGCCCAGACUCCUACGGGAGGCAGCAGUGGGGAAUCUUGCGCAAUGGGCGAAAGCCUGACGCAGCGACGCCGCGUGAGGGAUGACGGCCUGGUU